Armillaria luteobubalina is the source of this 81-nucleotide non-coding RNA. The record is from the annotation of a GenBank genome assembly. Lineage: Eukaryota; Fungi; Basidiomycota; Agaricomycetes; Agaricales; Physalacriaceae.
ACGCCGAUGGUGAAACGGUUAUCAUGCUUGCCUUCCAUGAUUCAUUAGCAAGCGGUAGGGGUUCGACUCCCCUUCGGCGUA